UAAAUCAUGUUUUUAUGAUUUUUGUAAAUCUUGACUUUUUACACCUUGUUUUUGUAAGCUGAAGUUUUCUUAUUAAAAGAAUAAAAUAUCUUUGUGUACACGCUUUAUUUGUUAAAAUACCAUUAGAUUAUUCCUCAGGACAAGAGCUAAGAUCAGCCCCUGCAGAAACUUAAGGGAAGGUGCCAUCUGACAAACUUCAGCCGCCAUCAGGGCAAGUCUGGUGAUGGUCACAGAUUGGAAGCUGUUUUUGAAGGGGUCGAGUACAGCACAGGGGUUCUGUGUGUCUUCACAGCUAGACCCCAGGG
This 305-nucleotide long non-coding RNA is filed under the name Capra hircus (goat). RNAcentral describes it as "lncRNA (ENSCHIG00010010533.1)". The record is from RNAcentral. Lineage: Eukaryota; Metazoa; Chordata; Mammalia; Artiodactyla; Bovidae.